RNAcentral lists this ribosomal RNA (301 nucleotides) under uncultured bacterium. RNAcentral's name for it is "partial 16S ribosomal RNA". It matches the Rfam family "Bacterial small subunit ribosomal RNA", at positions 509 to 807 of the family's 1533-position model. The record is from RNAcentral.
CAGCCGCCGCGGGAAUACGUAGGGUGCAAGCGUUAAUCGGAAUUACUGGGCGUAAAGCGUGCGCAGGCGGUUAUAUAAGACAGUCGUGAAAUCCCCGGGCUCAACCUGGGAACUGCGAUUGUGACUGUAUGGCUAGAGUGUGUCAGAGGGGGGUAGAAUUCCACGUGUAGCAGUGAAAUGCGUAGAUAUGUGGAGGAAUACCGAUGGCGAAGGCAGCCCCCUGGGAUAACACUGACGCUCAUGCACGAAAGCGUGGGGAGCAAACAGGAUUAGAUACCCCCGUAGUCCCUGUCUCUUAUAC